CUACGGAGGGUCCAAGCGUUAUCCGGAUUCAUUGGGUUUAAAGGGUCCGCAGGCGGGAAAAUAAGUCAGUGGUGAAAGCCUACAGCUCAACUGUAGAACUGCCAUUGAAACUGUUUUUCUUGAGUAUAGAUGAAGUGGGCGGAAUAUAUCAUGUAGCGGUGAAAUGCAUAGAUAUGAUAUAGAACACCGAUUGCGAAGGCAGCUCACUAAACUAUUACUGACGCUGAUGGACGAAAGCGUGGGGAGCAAACAGGAUUAGAUACCCCUGUAGUCC
RNAcentral lists this ribosomal RNA (274 nucleotides) under uncultured bacterium. Its description in RNAcentral is "partial 16S ribosomal RNA". It matches the Rfam family "Bacterial small subunit ribosomal RNA", at positions 523 to 796 of the family's 1533-position model. The record is from RNAcentral.